RNAcentral lists this ribosomal RNA (374 nucleotides) under uncultured eukaryote. RNAcentral's name for it is "SSU rRNA". It matches the Rfam family "Eukaryotic small subunit ribosomal RNA", at positions 587 to 972 of the family's 1831-position model. The record is from RNAcentral.
AGCUCCAAUAGCGUAUAUUAAAGUUGUUGCAGUUAAAAAGCUCGUAGUUGAACUUCGGGCCUGGCAGCGGGGUCCCUCCGGGGUACUCUGACGCCUGGCCUUUCCUUCUGGCGAGCCGGCGUGUUAUUCAGUUAAUGCGUCGGGGAACCAGGACUUUUACUUUGAAAAAAUUAGAGUGUUUAAAGCAGGCUUACGCUUGAAUACAUUAGCAUGGAAUAAUAAAAUAGGACUUUGGUUUUAUUUUGUUGGUUUUCGAAACCGAAGUAAUGAUUAAUAGGGAUAGUUGGGGGCAUUCGUAUUUAGCCGUCAGAGGUGAAAUUCUUGGAUUGGCUAAAGACGAACUUCUGCGAAAGCAUUUGCCAAGGAUGUUUUCA